This is an RNA transcript of Poecile atricapillus (Black-capped chickadee), 5111 nucleotides long. It is a transcript of the gene named ankyrin repeat and sterile alpha motif domain containing 6, with no coding region annotated. The record is from RefSeq and is a predicted model, not a curated record. Lineage: Eukaryota; Metazoa; Chordata; Aves; Passeriformes; Paridae. The transcript is spliced from 18 exons.
AGCCGAGUCCCCUCCUCCCUGCUGCCUUCCCGGCGGCGGCGGGGGCGGUCGCGGGCGGCCGAGCCGCUCGGGGCCCGGCAGCGCUGCCCAUGGGGGAGUGCGGGGUGUCCCCCCAGGUCCAGCUCUUCCUCCGCGCCUGCGAGCAGGGCGACUGCGAGACCGCCCGACGCCUCCUGGGGCUGCCCGACGACGGCGGCUCCGCCGACCCUGCGGCCCCCUCCUCCUCCUCGUGCGGCCCUGAGGAGGUGGCGGCGGAGCCCCGCGGCGAAGCGUCGUCCCCGCCGACCCCCGCCGUGCCCGUGGACUGCACGGACGAGGCCGGCAACACGGGGCUGCAGUUCGCCGCGGCGGGGGGCCACGAGCAGCUGGUGCGGUUCCUGCUGCGGAAGGGCGCCUCGGUGCAGAGCAGGAACCACUACGGAUGGAGCCCCCUCAUGCAAGCGGCCAGGUUUGGACAUCUAAAUGUGGCCCACAUCUUGCUGGAGAAUGGUGCUGAUCUCAAUGCACAGAACAAGUUAGGAGCCAGUGUCCUCACAAUGGCUUCCAGAGGUGGUCACAUCAGCAUGGUGAAAUUCUUGCUGGAAUCCGGAGCUUUUGUGGACAAUUAUGACCAUUUUAGCACAAAUGUACUUAGCAGCAGCAGAGAUGACCUUCCUGAUAUCACUCCACUGAUGGCAGCUGCUCAGCAUGGGCAUGAGGCAGUAGUACAUCUGCUGCUAGACUGGGGAGCUGAUUGUAACUACUCUUUAAAGACAAUAGGCUGGAGUCCUUUAAUGCUGGCAGCUGUUAGUGGAAAGGUGUGCUUGGCACAGCAGCUCAUAGAGAAAGGUGCCAAUCCUGAUCACUUGAAUGUACUACAUAAAACACCUUUUGAAAUCUCUGUUGGUUUCAAACACAAAGACAUGAAGGACUAUUUGGAAUCUCUCACAACCAUCAGGCCUCAGGCAGAUUCAGAAAAGAGUCAACCUGAUGUCUUUCAUGCUUUGAAACUGGGAAACUUUCAGCUGGUUAAAGAGAUCAUUGAUGAAGAUCUGAGUCAGGUUAAUAUUACCAAUGUUGACGGUGCAUCUCCUUUAAUGAUUGCAGCUGUAACUGGACAGCUGCCCCUUGUUCAGCUCCUUGUUGAGAAAAAGGCUGAUAUUGAUAAACAGGAUAAUGUUCAUGGCUGGACAGCACUAAUGCAGGCCACAUACCAUGGAAACAAAAAUGUUGUCAAGUACUUGUUAAAUCAGGGAGCUGAUGUUAACCUUCGUGCAAGAAAUGGAUACACAGCUUUUGACCUGAUAAUGCUGCUGAAUGAUCCAGACACAGAGCUUGUAAGGUUACUGGCAUCAGCAUGCAUGCAAGUAGAUAAAGACAAGAAUAAACUGAACAACAGAUCAUCUCUGCCUUGUUCCAGAAGCAGGCAAUCCUUAAAUGUCCCAAUGUUGCCAGAUGACAAAGGAGGCCUAAAGUCCUGGUGGAGCAGGAUGUCCAAUCGAUUCCGCAAGCUGAAGUUGACUCAGACAUUGCGCCAUGGGUUUCCUUCUAAUGAGUUUGUGCCUUUUCCGGAUGAGACCGAACCAUCAUUAAAUUGCACUAUAAAAGUAGCCUCACAGAGUGAUACAGACACCUCUGGAAACCUUGAUGCUGCUACAGCUUGGACCACAAAUAACAAAGCUAGUGGUGCAAACACUUCGAAAGGCGGAAAGGAUGAUGAAUUAUUGACAACUAUGCUGAGGAGUAGUGCUCCAUUUACCAGGCUGCCCAGUGAUAAGCUGAAAGCAGUGAUACCACCUUUCUUACCACCCUCAAGCUUUGAACUUUGGAAUUCUGAUCGAACCCGACUCAGCAAAGAUGGCAAAGCUGAACAGAUGAGAACUGCCUGGCCACAGAGAGCAAUCAAGCACGAUUUUAACAGCAGUGGGAACUCUGAUACAACAUCUGUUAACAAAGGUAAUACUAGGCCAGUCAAGUUAUCAACGUUUACAAGAAGACCAGCAUCUCCUUCAAAUUCCAACAACUUCAACCAUUCUCCCCAUUCUUCUGGUGGUUCCAAUAACAUUGCAGGAAUUAACAGACAUGGAGGAGAACUGCAUAACAGAUCAGGUGGCAGUGCAGAUAACGUUUUGUCUCAGAUUGCAGCCCAAAGAAGAAAAGCAGCAGGCUUACCUGAACAGAAACCGAGCCAACAGUCCAGUCCAGUCCAGUCAACUCCUUCAUCUACCAUGUCGGAUUUGCAGAGUGCUCAGAUUGUUGGCAAUGGACAUGUUGUAAAGCAAAAACUGGAGAUGAGCAAAAGACCUCCAUCUGGGACUUCAUCUACGUCUAAAAGCACAUCACCAACUCUCACACCUUCUCCAUCACCUUCCCCAUCUCCUAAGGUUCAAAAUGCAGAGUCUUCCGUCUCUUCUUCUCACAGACAUGCCAAGAGCAACGGCUCCAGCAGUGGUACUAUUACAGAGGAUGGCAACCACUUGGUGGAUCAUCAACAGCUUGGCCCUAUUCUGAGAGCCAGUGAUGUAGAGAAUCAAGAAAGACGAAACCAUGUUAGAGUGAAAGAAGGCUCUGAAAACUUGGAGAAAGAUGAGCUGACUGGCAUCCUUAAAAAAUUGUCACUUGAGAAAUAUCAGCCUAUAUUUGAGGAACAGGAGGUAGAUAUGGAAGCUUUCCUCACACUUACUGAUGGUGAUUUGAAAGAGCUGGGUAUUAAAACAGAUGGAUCAAGGCAGCAAAUUUUGGCAGCUAUUUCUGAACUGAAUGCAGGAAAGGGUCGAGAGAGACAGAUUUUACAAGAAACUAUACACAACUUCCACUCUUCCUUUGAGAGUAGUGUUAGUAACACACGACAGCCAGGUCAUUCCCAAUCAUAGUCAGCAUGUGUGGGAACUUCUGGAUGUCUCUUGGUAACAUCCCAGAGCUGAAGAGCCUCUUCUGUAGGUAUUACUAGGUGAGCAGAAGCUGUUUGGGAUUUGAUUACGUGGUGCAAAGAAGUGGAAUUACUCAAGAACCAAAGAAGCAUAGAGGUGUAAUGUGUCUCCAAGCAACUUUCUGACCUUAAAUGUCUUGAAGACAUCAAAGGAAAAGAAUGGUGGCUCAGAGUUGGGGAGCAUAUCCUUUUGUAAUAAUGGAGGCAGCAGUUGCUCCUGUUGAGCUUUUGACAAGAUGCUGCAAGAAGGAUGCCAUAAGAGAUCAGGCUUUUGGGUUUUUGUGUGUAAGAGCUCCAUGAUAUAGAUUUGGCUGUGAAACAGAAACACUAACAGAGAAGAGGAAGAGAACAUGUAGCUAAAAGAAGUUCCUGCACCAGCUCCUGGCUGCUCUUUAAAACCACAGGAUGUCAUUUCUUCUAAAAGGUAGCUACUGGAACAAAAGUGUUUUGUUUUUUUUUUUAUAGUGAAGUUUGGCAUCUGACUAAGUAAAUCCGUACAAAUCCUUACCAUUGAAAAUUUGAAGUUAGUUCUGACUACACUGACAUAGGAUUUUCUGCAGUAAAAUGCUUAAAAUACAAAACCCACAGAAAGUCAGAGAAAACAAUAAAAAGAUUGUUUCUAUAGUUCAACAUAAGUGUUGAAAUGUUCAAGGCAUCAGUGGUCUGGGUUUAAGAAGAGCAAAAUGAGAAGAGUAGGAAGAAUGGAUGAACAUACAAGAAGAUGGAUGUUUCAUUCCACUCUUGCCCAUAGAUGAAGAGCCCAUGGGAGAUCUACAUGGGCAUGGGCAAGAGCAACAAAAGCAUGGAAGAAGCCAAGAAGGCCACCACAAAUUGUGACAUCUUCUACAUGGGGAAGUACAUAAGCUGAAUAUGCCUCUAUUGAUUGGAUACAGAUAAAGGAGUCCAGAUUGAAAAUGUAAUGAUUUCAUGGGACGAAAUCUAAAGAAGUAAUGCUGCAUUCUUCAGUAACCAAAAAUAUACUUUAUCCAAUAUUAUGAGGUUAGAACAGCAGUAAAAGUAAAAACAAAAUACCUAUUUGUAAAAACAGCACUUUAUUUGAGGAAAUGCAUGAUCUGUCACCAAUAUUUAAACAGAAAGAAUGUUAAAAUAUUUUAUAUUGUUGAUUUUUUUUUGAGAAUAAAACUAUUUACGUGAUAUUGGCUGUUUUUUUGUUAAAUAGUAACACUAGCAUAUCCUUAAAAAAACAUUUUUACAACUUGAUUUUGUAGCAAUUUUGUAAUGAAAGUUACGGUAAUUACAAGUAGAAAUAAUUUUCUGCUUAGUAAAUACCAUUUUUGUUAAGCAGUUAAAAUGCAAAUCAUCAGGACUUAAAAGUCAUCAGAAGCUUCCGACAUUAUAUUUAUCUUUCUGAAGACUCAAGUACUGCAGAUAAAGGCAAGAAGAUCUUGGAGCUCAAAUUACUUGAGUGCUCUCAGUACAUAACAAAAUAUUUUAUGUUUCUCCAUGCUCCUCGCUGUACUGACAGCUCAUGGCUACUUUUUUUGCCUUUGGGAGGAGGUAAGUUUGAGACAGAGUCCUGUAUUGUGUGUCUGUGUCAGGGCUGGCACGGGCAGCUCUUUAAACUCUGGUGUAGACAGCAGGGGUCUGGUCAGUACCAUCACCGGGCCUCAAACCCCAGUAUCUCACUGGGCUAGACCAGAAGUUUGAUUCAGUUAUCCAGACCUCCACUGGCAUUUGCCAGGCCCUAAGGCAUCCAGAGCACCUAGAAGGGAUGCCAGACAUGACACUACAUGAGGGUUAUGAUCAGGUGGUUUGUUGCCGCCGCUUGAACAAAGAGACCAUUCAGAGAUGGAGACUGUAAUUUAUUGACUUGUCCUGAUUUGUCAUAGAUUUUCAAAGGUGAAAAGCUUUUUUUUUUGUUUUUUUGUUACUGUUUGCUGUUCAUUUUCUGUGUCCUUUUCAGUUUAAAUGAAAACCUUUGUUAGUAAACUUUGCUUAUGUCAUAAUGAAAAGUGAUACCUUCUGGGUUUUGCGGAAGGAGGAAAUCCUACAAAAACCAGUUCUUGUUAUGAUUCAGUCUAGUGUUACAGACUAUUGACUAAUCUGUAGUUAUUAACCUAAGAUUUUGCUGAGGAGUACUGUUAUUUUACAAGAAGCUUUUAUAAGUUUCUUUGAAUUUAAUUUUCUUUUUCUGCACUUGGAGCAUUAAUGAAGAUGAGAUUUUAAAUAAAGAUACUUUGUU